GAGAUACUAGCUCAGUUGGUAGAGCACCUGACUUUUAAUCAGGGUGUCGCGGGUUCAAGUCCCGCGUGUCUCA
This 73-nucleotide transfer RNA is filed under the name Lachnospiraceae bacterium. RNAcentral describes it as "tRNA-Lys". It matches the Rfam family "tRNA". Rfam says of the family: Transfer RNA (tRNA) molecules are approximately 80 nucleotides in length. Their secondary structure includes four short double-helical elements and three loops (D, anti-codon, and T loops). Further hydrogen bonds mediate the characteristic L-shaped molecular structure. tRNAs have two regions of fundamental functional importance: the anti-codon, which is responsible for specific mRNA codon recognition, and the 3' end, to which the tRNAs corresponding amino acid is attached (by aminoacyl-tRNA synthetases). tRNAs cope with the degeneracy of the genetic code in two manners: having more than one tRNA (with a specific anti-codon) for a particular amino acid; and 'wobble' base-pairing, i.e. permitting non-standard base-pairing at the 3rd anti-codon position. The record is from RNAcentral. Lineage: Bacteria; Bacillati; Bacillota; Clostridia; Lachnospirales; Lachnospiraceae.